GCAGAUGUGGUGGAAUAGGCAGACACGCUACUUUGAGGUGGUAGUGAGCUUAGCUCGUGUGGGUUCAAGUCCCGUCAUCUGCACCA
RNAcentral lists this transfer RNA (86 nucleotides) under Oscillospiraceae bacterium. RNAcentral describes it as "tRNA-Leu". It matches the Rfam family "tRNA". Rfam says of the family: Transfer RNA (tRNA) molecules are approximately 80 nucleotides in length. Their secondary structure includes four short double-helical elements and three loops (D, anti-codon, and T loops). Further hydrogen bonds mediate the characteristic L-shaped molecular structure. tRNAs have two regions of fundamental functional importance: the anti-codon, which is responsible for specific mRNA codon recognition, and the 3' end, to which the tRNAs corresponding amino acid is attached (by aminoacyl-tRNA synthetases). tRNAs cope with the degeneracy of the genetic code in two manners: having more than one tRNA (with a specific anti-codon) for a particular amino acid; and 'wobble' base-pairing, i.e. permitting non-standard base-pairing at the 3rd anti-codon position. Lineage: Bacteria; Bacillati; Bacillota; Clostridia; Eubacteriales; Oscillospiraceae. The record is from RNAcentral.